GGGCCCGUAGCCCAGUCAGGAUAAGGCGUUGGCCUUCGGAGCCAAAGAUCCGGGGUUCGAAUCCCUGCGGGCCCA
RNAcentral lists this transfer RNA (75 nucleotides) under Candidatus Poseidoniia archaeon. RNAcentral's name for it is "tRNA-Arg". It matches the Rfam family "tRNA". Rfam says of the family: Transfer RNA (tRNA) molecules are approximately 80 nucleotides in length. Their secondary structure includes four short double-helical elements and three loops (D, anti-codon, and T loops). The record is from RNAcentral. Lineage: Archaea; Methanobacteriati; Thermoplasmatota; Candidatus Poseidoniia.